This 1734-nucleotide ribosomal RNA is filed under the name human gut metagenome. RNAcentral describes it as "bacterial LSU rRNA". It matches the Rfam family "Bacterial large subunit ribosomal RNA", at positions 976 to 2738 of the family's 2925-position model. The record is from RNAcentral.
CAUGGGAGUCAGACCAUACGAGAUAAGUUGGAUGGUCAAAAGGGAAAGAGCCCAGACCUACAGCUAAGGUCCCAAAGUGCGUGUUAAGUGGAAAAGGAUGUGGGGAUUCUAAGACAACUAGGACGUUGGCUUAGAAGCAGCCAUUCAUUGAAAGAGUGCGUAAUAGCUCACUAGUCGAGAGUCCCUGCGCCGAAAAUGUCCGGGGCUGAAACACGACACCGAAGCUUAGGAAUGUGUAAACAUUGGUAGAGGAGCAUUGCUGGCGGGAUGAAGCCAUACCGAAAGGAGUGGUGGACUGCUAGGAAGAGAGAAUGCCGGAAUGAGUAGCGAGAUGAAGGUGAGAAUCCUUCAGGCCGAAUAUCUAAGGUUUCCAGAGUAAAGCUGAUCUGCUCUGGGUAAGUCGGGACCUAAGGCGAGGUCGAAAGACGUAGUCGAUGGAUAACAGGUUGAAAUUCCUGUACCGCAUAUAAACAGAACUGUGGGGACACAGACAGGGAAUGGAAUCCGGGGAUGGAGAACCCGGAGCAAGCGAGGUAGGAGUAUCAUUGGCAAAACCGUGAUACAGAUCUGAAGACGUGAUGCGUACCGAACAUAAGUAGGGAAGUCCAGGCCCCUGGCUGUCAAGAAAAGCCGCUAUUGUUUUAUAUGUGCCCGUACCGCAAACCGACACAGGUGGAUGAGGAGAGAAUCCUAAGGCCGACGGGAGAAGUAUUGUUAAGGAACUCGGCAAAAUGACUCCGUAACUUCGGGAGAAGGAGUGCCAUGAGAGUGGCCGCAGAGAAAUGGCCCAAGCAACUGUUUAGCAAAAACACAGGUCUAUGCAAAACCGCAAGGUGAAGUAUAUGGGCUGACGCCUGCCCGGUGCUGGAAGGUUAAGGGGAGAGGUUAGCGCAAGCGAAGCUUUGAACUUAAGCCCCAGUAAACGGCGGCCGUAACUAUAACGGUCCUAAGGUAGCGAAAUUCCUUGUCGGGUAAGUUCCGACCCGCACGAAAGGCGUAAUGAUUUGGGCACUGUCUCAACGAUACACCCGGUGAAAUUGAAAUACCAGUGAAGAUGCUGGUUACCUGCGCCAGGACGGAAAGACCCCAUGGAGCUUUACUCCAGUUUGAUACUGGGAUUCGGCAUGGUAUGUACAGGAUAGGUGGGAGACUGAGAAGGUAUGACGUCAGUUGUACCGGAGUCGCUGUUGGGAUACCACCCUUACCAUGUUGGAUUUCUAACCUGUGGCCGUGAACCGGUCAGGGGACAAUGUCAGGCGGGGAGUUUGACUGGGGCGGUCGCCUCCGAAAGGGUAUCGGAGGCGCUCAAAGGUUCCCUCAGAAUGGUUGGAAACCAUUCGAAGAGUGCAAAGGCAGAAGGGAGCUUGACUGUGACACCGACGGGUGGAGCAGGUACGAAAGUAGGACUUAGUGAUCCGGUGGUAUAAAGUGGGAUUGCCAUCGCUCAACGGAUAAAAGCUACCCUGGGGAUAACAGGCUUAUCACUCCCAAGAGUUCACAUCGACGGAGUGGUUUGGCACCUCGAUGUCGGCUCAUCGCAUCCUGGAGCUGUAGCAGGUUCCAAGGGUUGGGCUGUUCGCCCAUUAAAGCGGUACGCGAGCUGGGUUCAGAACGUCGUGAGACAGUUCGGUCCCUAUCCGGCGCAGGCGGAGGAAAUUUGAUAGGAGCUGUCCUUAGUACGAGAGGACCGGGAUGGACGGACCGCUGGUGUAUCUGUUGUACUGCCAAGUGCAU